GCGGCGUGGCUAAAACAUGCAAGUCGAACGCGAACGUUCCCUUCGGGGAACAAGUAGAGUGGCGAAAGGGCGAGGAAUACAUGGGUAACGUGCCUCGAGCACGAGGACAGCCGGGGGAAACUCCGGUUAAUACUCGAUAAGACCACAGCACCGCAGGGUGCAGGGGUCAAAGGGUGGGGACCUUCGGGCCUGCCGGCUCGAGAGCGGCCCAUGUCCUAUCAGCUUGUUGGUGGGGUAACGGCCUACCAAGGCUACGACGGGUACCGGGACUGAGAGGUUGACCCGGCGCAUCGGGACUGAGACACUGCCCGGACUCCUACGGGAGGCUGCAGUAACGAAUAUUGGGCAAUGGGCGAAAGCCUGACCCAGCGACGCCGCGUGUGGGAAGAAUGCCUUCGGGUUGUAAACCACUGUCAGGGAUUACCAACCAACCGGUGUGAAUAGCGCCGGGAGUUGAGGAGUCCCAGAGGAAGUCACGGCUAACUUCGUGCCAGCAGCCGCGGUAAUACGAAGGUGGCUAGCGUUGUUCGGAAUCACUGGGCUUAAAGAGCACGUAGGCGGAUGAUCAAGCGUCUUGUGAAAGCCCUCGGCUCAACCGGGGAAUUGCUUGGCGAACUGAUCAUCUUGAGGCAGGUAGGGGCGAGUGGAACUCUUGGUGGAGCGGUGGAAUGCUUAGAUAUCAAGAGGAACGCCAGAGGCGAAGGCGACUCGCUGGGCCUGACCUGACGCUGAGGUGCGAAAGCCAGGGGAGCGAACGGGAUUAGAUACCCCGGUAGUCCUGGCCCUAAACGAUGUCCACUAGGUCGGUGAGGUUCUAAUGCUUUGCUGGCCGAAACAAAAGC
This 842-nucleotide ribosomal RNA is filed under the name uncultured organism. RNAcentral describes it as "bacterial SSU rRNA". It matches the Rfam family "Bacterial small subunit ribosomal RNA", at positions 39 to 858 of the family's 1533-position model. The record is from RNAcentral.